CUCCACGUUUUCAUAGGGGCUAUUCUUUGUUGUAGCUUCCUUUCCUAGGCGUGGAACAGUAAAGUCUUCUUUCUGAGCACUCCUCUUAAUGACUUUUUGUUUUUAAGAAGGUGGUGUUCGAUUAAGGAAC
This is a small nucleolar RNA of Clarias gariepinus (North African catfish), 130 nucleotides long. RefSeq annotates it as small nucleolar RNA SNORA24. The record is from RefSeq and is a predicted model, not a curated record. The transcript has a single exon. NCBI's taxonomy places the organism in Eukaryota, Metazoa, Chordata, Actinopteri, Siluriformes, Clariidae.